RNAcentral lists this transfer RNA (72 nucleotides) under Phrynosoma platyrhinos (Desert horned lizard). RNAcentral's name for it is "tRNA-OTHER". Lineage: Eukaryota; Metazoa; Chordata; Lepidosauria; Squamata; Phrynosomatidae. The record is from RNAcentral.
GCCAAUAUGGUGUAGUGGUUUGAGCUUUGCACUAGGAUUCUGGAGACCAGGGUUCAAAUCCCUGUUCAGAUG